UCAGACGAUGCGUCAUGCAUAUCAAUAAGCGGAGGAAAAGAAACUAACAAGGAUUCCCUUAGUAACGGCGAGUGAAGCGGGAAGAGCUCAAAUUUGAAAUCUUCAAGGUUUUACCUUGACGAAUUGUAGUUUAAAGAAGUGUUUUCUGCUGAAGUUUUGGUAAAAGUUCUUUGGAAUAGGACAUCAUAGAGGGUGAGAAUCCCGUAUUUGACCAUUAUUUUCAGCUUUGUGAUACACUUUCAAAGAGUCGGAUUGUUUGGGAAUGCAGUCCAAAAUGGGUGGUAAAUUUCAUUCUAAGCUAAAUAUUGGCGAGAGACCGAUAGCGAACAAGUACCGUGAGGGAAAGAUGAAAAGAACUUUGAAAAGAGAGUUAAAUAGUACGUGAAAUUGUCAAAAGGGAAGCGUUUAACACCAGUGUUGUUUUCUGAAAAUCAACCUCUGUUAGCUUUAUGCAUGUUUGUUUAGACCUAAUCAGCUAUCUUGCAUGUUCUAUUGUUUGCAGUGGUGCACUUUUCAGUUUACAGGUCAACAUCAGUUUUUUUUACCGUAAAAAAGUUAAAGAAAGGUAGCUCAUGGCUCCGGUCGUGAGUGUUAUAGUCUUUUUCCUAUGCGGUAGGAGAGACUGAGGUCUGCAGUGUAGGCUAUUGGCUAGAUACUCAGGUGCUAUGUGAUACCAUUUCAUAAACAACUUGUUGAUUAUGUUUUGUCUAUUGCAUACUCGCUUGUACUAUCAUACCUACGCUUAGGAUGUUGACUGAUAUGUAGUCGUA
This 770-nucleotide ribosomal RNA is filed under the name uncultured Neocallimastigales. RNAcentral describes it as "partial large subunit ribosomal RNA". It matches the Rfam family "Eukaryotic large subunit ribosomal RNA", at positions 18 to 644 of the family's 3401-position model. Lineage: Eukaryota; Fungi; Neocallimastigomycota; Neocallimastigomycetes; Neocallimastigales. The record is from RNAcentral.